GAAAACCUGUUCACAGUGCCUGAAGUUGGUCGACUCCAUGCGACACAGAUGUGAAGCAGUUCUCAGAAUAAUGGUUAUGCGACUAAACAGUAAAGCAAACCCCUGAGACAUUUUUCAGUUCAUA
Molecule: long non-coding RNA, 124 nt
Organism: Etheostoma spectabile (orangethroat darter)
Lineage: Eukaryota; Metazoa; Chordata; Actinopteri; Perciformes; Percidae
Exons: 3
Source: RefSeq, a predicted model, not a curated record